This 1498-nucleotide ribosomal RNA is filed under the name uncultured bacterium. RNAcentral's name for it is "bacterial SSU rRNA". It matches the Rfam family "Bacterial small subunit ribosomal RNA". The record is from RNAcentral.
AGAGUUUGAUCCUGGCUCAGGAUGAACGCUGGCGGCGUGCUUAACACAUGCAAGUCGAACGGUUCCGACUUCGGUCGGGAUAGUGGCGGACGGGUGCGUAACACGUAAGCAACCUACCCUCAAGAUUGGAAUAACCCUCCGAAAGGAAGGCUAAUACCGAAUAUUAUCCUUAAGACGCAUGUCCUGAGGAUAAAAGGAACUCCGCAAGGGGAACCGCUCGAGGAUGGGCUUGUGGUCUAUCAGCUAGUUGGUGAGGUAAUGGCUCACCAAGGCUAUGACGGGUAGCUGGUCUGAGAGGACGACCAGCCACACUGGAACUGAGACACGGUCCAGACUCCUACGGGAGGCAGCAGUGAGGAAUUUUCCGCAAUGGGCGAAAGCCUGACGGAGCGACGCCGUGUGGGUGAUGAAAUCCUUCGGGAUGUAAAACCCUGUCAGCGGGGAAGAUAAUGACGGUACCCGCAGAGGAAGCUCCGGCUAACUACGUGCCAGCAGCCGCGGUAAAACGUAGGGAGCAAGCGUUGUCCGGAUUUAUUGGGCGUAAAGCGCAUGUAGGCGGUGAUGUAAGUCAGGCGUAAAAGGUAUGGGCUUAACUCAUACAUGCACCUGAAACUGUGUCACUCGAGAGAGAUAGAGGGAAGUGGAACUUCCGGUGUAGCGGUGAAAUGCGUAGAUAUCGGAAGGAACACCAAUGGCGAAGGCAGCUUCCUGGAUCUCUUCUGACGUUGAGAUGCGAAAGCUAGGGGAGCGAACGGGAUUAGAUACCCCGGUAGUCCUAGCCGUAAACGAUGGUCACUAGGUGUUGGAGGUAUCGACCCCUUCAGUGCCGCAGGUAACCCGAUAAGUGACCCGCCUGGGGAGUACGGCCGCAAGGCUAAAACUCAAAAGAAUUGACGGGGGCCCGCACAAGCGGUGGAGCAUGUGGUUCAAUUCGAUGCUACGCGAAUAACCUUACCUGGGCUUGACAUGUGCGGAACCCUGCAGAAAUGCGGGGGUGCCCAGAAAUGGGAGCCGCAACACAGGUGCUGCAUGGCUGUCGUCAGCUCGUGUCGUGAGAUGUUGGGUUAAGUCCCGCAACGAGCGCAACCCCUAUUGUCAGUUGCUAACAGAUAAUGCUGAGCACUCUGGCGAGACUGCCCGUGAUAAAUGGGAGGAAGGCGGGGAUGAGGUCAAGUCAUCAUGGCCCUUAUGUCCAGGGCAACACACGUGCUACAAUGGCAUGUACAAAGGGCAGCAAUACCGUAAGGUGGAGCAAAUCCCAAAAAACGUGCCUCAGUUCGGAUUGCAGGCUGCAAUUCGCCUGCAUGAAGCUGGAAUCGCUAGUAACCGCAGAUCAGCGCGCUGCGGUGAAUGCGUUCUCGGGCCUUGUACACACCGCCCGUCACACCAUGAGAGUCAGAAACACCCAAAGUUCAUGAUCCAACCCUGAGAGUAAUCGAAGGGAGGUAAUGACCUAAGGUGGCACUGAUGAUUGGGGUGAAGUCGUAACAAGGUAACC